GGCAGUUCUCGGGUGACACACCCCAGAAUCGGGCUCCCUCCUCUCUAAUUCCAGGGUGUGUCACCCGAGAAGCA
This is a non-coding RNA of Myotis lucifugus (little brown bat), 74 nucleotides long. The record is from Rfam. NCBI's taxonomy places the organism in Eukaryota, Metazoa, Chordata, Mammalia, Chiroptera, Vespertilionidae.